Non-coding RNA from Anas platyrhynchos (mallard), 1550 nucleotides. Lineage: Eukaryota; Metazoa; Chordata; Aves; Anseriformes; Anatidae. The record is from RefSeq and is a predicted model, not a curated record.
UGAAUUUGGUGCUGGGUGGCGAGGUGGUGUUGGGGGAAGAGCUAGGCUAAGGAGAGCUUCCUCUUGCUCUGCCCCUUCCCAUCUCAAAUGGCCGCUUCCUGGGGAGAUGGGUUCGUUGGGAGGCUAACUACAACGUUACAGUGAGGACGAGGAAUCCUCUUUAGUCCCGUAGGUAUUUGCUGCCAGGCCGCAGCGUUGAUUUCAGAAAUUGUAUUUAAAAAAGGAAAAAGAAAGGAAAUCCGUAUUCUUUAACAUACUCUCUUUUCUCGGAGAGUAGAUGGAGGAGCUUCAGCAGUGCCCUUCCUCCCGAAAGGCUUCCCAGUGUCUGCUCAGACACUGAGGAGGAAAAUAGAGGAGAGCCACCCGAUAUAAAUAAAGGCAAGAAGGGGUUAUGGAUUAAGGGAAAACCACUACUUCAAAAAUUGGUGCUCUCUACAAACCGGUUAAGGGUUUGGGACCUGCAGGUGCUGCCUCCACCUGUGUGCGUUGCAGUCGUGCCUGUUGCCACUGAGCAAAACAGGGAGAGCUGCUUUGUCGAACGCGGCGUGUUAAAGCACGUGCCACUGCCUGGAAGAAAAGCACGGACUUCCCUCGUGUGGGACUUCUUCCCUAGCCAUGUGUGGUUUACCUGAUGGUUUCCCAUAAGCUGUGAAUGUUUAAAAGAAAAAAACCAACAAAACCCAAGACCAACGUUGAGAGUGGUGAGGCAGAUCCUCACCUGGGGACUCAGAAUCAGCGGUGACAUCACCAUGCGAAGCAUUGUGUGCGCUUCGGGUCGGGGCUGCUGCGAGCCUCGCAGCGGGGAGGGAGAGCGGAUGCGGGGUGCCUCUGUGUCAGCCCUCUGCCCUGGUGGCUUCGUGAGCACUGAGAGUUUGACUCCUGUGUUGCCAGCUUUCGCUUCCGCACCUGCGGUGUGGCAGAGCCAGCGAGCUGCUUCCUCAGCUGGAGGAGGAAGAGGAGUGACCUCAACGUUGCCGAGCUUUGGAGAAAGUGAAGCAGAGAAAACCACACAUAACCACUGAUAGCUGGACCCCAAACUGCCACAGACUGACAGUGAUGCCCACUGGAUAUCUCCUGAGACCCUGCUGCCUUCUGCCUGCUCCAGCAGAAGUCCCGUUUGAAUUAGCCAGCAGGUCCCUCUGAGUGGCUUUGCUAAAACUCCCGCCGUAGGAAGUAUCCUACGGGAGCCAAGUUGCUAAACUGAUGGGUGGGUUUCCCUUAACCCCCUCACCCCUGACUUCCCAGCUCCUGACGACACUGCCAACGUGUGCAGUGUCACCGUGUGCCAACUAGGUGCCAGCUGCCAUGGUUUGUAUAUUGUAAAAGGAGUGAUUUGGGACUCGUGAGCACUGAGAACAGGUUAGCAAUUGCUUAAGAGCUUUACUUGUGUCGCUCUGGGGCAGGGAGAUGGGUGAAACAUCUUAGGCUUGAAAGUGAUUCCCUGCAGAGUGACGUGCUCAGAUCUGCACAACAGAUCUGUCGUUCUGGUCACCUUAUUAGAUCCCUGCUUGAGAGGGUGCUUGCAAGAAUCGAUUCCUCUUCACCUUGAU